Molecule: ribosomal RNA, 577 nt
Filed under: uncultured bacterium
Lineage: Bacteria
Description: partial 16S ribosomal RNA
Rfam family: Bacterial small subunit ribosomal RNA
Source: RNAcentral
UGGGGAAUAUUGCACAAUGGGCGCAAGCCUGAUGCAGCCAUGCCGCGUGUGUGAAGAGGGCCUUCGGGUUGUAAAGCACUUUCAGCGAGGAGGAAGGUGGUGAGCUUAAUACGCUCAUCAAUUGACGUUACUCGCAGAAGAAGCACCGGCUAACUCCGUGCCAGCAGCCGCGGUAAUACGGAGGGUGCAAGCGUUAAUCGGAAUUACUGGGCGUAAAGCGCACGCAGGCGGUUUGUUAAGUCAGAUGUGAAAUCCCCGGGCUCAACCUGGGAACUGCAUUUGAAACUGGCAAGCUAGAGUCUCGUAGAGGGGGGUAGAAUUCCAGGUGUAGCGGUGAAAUGCGUAGAGAUCUGGAGGAAUACCGGUGGCGAAGGCGGCCCCCUGGACGAAGACUGACGCUCAGGUGCGAAAGCGUGGGGCAGCAAACAGGAUUAGAUACCCUGGUAGUCCAGCGCUGUAAACGAUGUCGUUUUGGAGGUUGUGCCCUUGAGGCGUGGCUUCCGGAGCUAACGCGUUAAAGUCGACCGCCUGGGGGAGUACGGCCGCAAGGUUAAAACUCAAAUGAAUUGACGGGGUC